Herpailurus yagouaroundi (jaguarundi) is the source of this 213-nucleotide long non-coding RNA. RefSeq lists it as uncharacterized. The record is from RefSeq and is a predicted model, not a curated record. The transcript is spliced from 2 exons. NCBI's taxonomy places the organism in Eukaryota, Metazoa, Chordata, Mammalia, Carnivora, Felidae.
AUUUCACAGCAACUUUCAGUCAUCGCCCUACAGAUGGUAGUGUGCCCUUUCGGCUCUUCAGCGCAGCACGCACACUGAAAGUCUGACUGUGAAAAGGCAGCCACUGCCAACUAUGAAGAAAGCCCUUAUCAGAAAGUGACCAUGCCAGCACCCUGAUCUUGGACUUCCAGCCUCCAGAACUGUGAGAAAUAAAUUUACGUUGCAGAUAAACCA